Molecule: ribosomal RNA, 464 nt
Filed under: uncultured bacterium
Lineage: Bacteria
Description: bacterial SSU rRNA
Rfam family: Bacterial small subunit ribosomal RNA
Source: RNAcentral
GACGAACGCUGGCGGCGCGCCUAACACAUGCAAGUCGAACGAGAGAUGAAGAGCUUGCUCUUCAGAUCGAGUGGCGAACGGGUGAGUAACGCGUGAGGAACCUGCCUCAAAGAGGGGGACAACAGUUGGAAACGACUGCUAAUACCGCAUAAGCGCACGGUAUCGCAUGAUACAGUGUGAAAAACUCCGGUGGUAUAAGAUGGACCCGCGUCUGAUUAGCUUGUUGGUGAGGUAACGGCCCACCAAGGCGACGAUCAGUAGCCGGACUGAGAGGUUGACCGGCCACAUUGGGACUGAGAUACGGCCCAGACUCCUACGGGAGCAGCAGUGGGGAAUAUUGGGCAAUGGGCGCAAGCCUGACCCAGCAACGCCGCGUGAAGGAAGAAGGCUUUCGGGUUGUAAACUCUUUUAAGAGGGAAGAGCAGAAGACUGUACCUCUAGAAUAAGCCACGGCUAACUACGUG